GCAGUGGCCGCCGGGUCCCGCCAGGUGUCGCUGUUGGAGCUGCGGCUGCGCCAGGGGGAGCAGGAGAGACAGGCCCUGUCCCAGGAGCGGCUCCGGGCGGAGGCGGCCGAGGAGGAACUGGGGAAACUGGGCCAGGCCCUGAGCCGGCUGUUGGGGACACUGGGCGUGGCCCUGGCCGAUGUCACCGUGGCCGUCGGGGCCCUGGGGACCCUCAGUGAGCGCCUGGACGGGCCCAGCACCGACUGCAGGGUCAGUGACACUGGGGACACCUGGGGACACUGCAGGGACACUGCAGGAUACUUUGGAGGCUUUGUGGGAGGACUGGGGACACUUUGGGGUCAGCUGGGCACACCUUGGGGACGCUUUGUCAGGAUUGGGGACACUCUGGGCACAGUUUGGAGGUUUGGGGACA
Molecule: long non-coding RNA, 412 nt
Organism: Melospiza melodia melodia
Lineage: Eukaryota; Metazoa; Chordata; Aves; Passeriformes; Passerellidae
Exons: 3
Source: RefSeq, a predicted model, not a curated record